RNAcentral lists this unclassified non-coding RNA (329 nucleotides) under soil metagenome. RNAcentral describes it as "partial contains 5.8S ribosomal RNA, internal transcribed spacer 2, and large subunit ribosomal RNA". The stretch from base 1 to 120 matches the Rfam family "5.8S ribosomal RNA", at positions 35 to 154 of the family's 154-position model. The record is from RNAcentral.
GAUGAAGAACGUAGCGAAAUGCGAUAAGUAAUGUGAAUUGCAGAAUUCAGUGAAUCAUCGAAUCUUUGAACGCACAUUGCGCCCCCUGGUAUUCCGGGGGGCAUGCCUGUCCGAGCGUCAUUACAACCCUCAAGCUCAGCUUGGUAUUGGGCCCCGCCGCUCCGGUGGGCCCUAAAGUCAGUGGCGGUGCCGUCCGGCUCCGAGCGUAGUAAUUCUUCUCGCUCUGGAGGUCCGGUCGUGUGCUCGCCAGCAACCCCCAAUUUUUUUCAGGUUGACCUCGGAUCAGGUAGGGAUACCCGCUGAACUUAAGCAUAUCAAUAAGCGGAGGA